This 892-nucleotide ribosomal RNA is filed under the name Capnodium paracoartatum. RNAcentral's name for it is "SSU rRNA". It matches the Rfam family "Eukaryotic small subunit ribosomal RNA", at positions 216 to 1111 of the family's 1831-position model. Lineage: Eukaryota; Fungi; Ascomycota; Dothideomycetes; Capnodiales; Capnodiaceae. The record is from RNAcentral.
AAAAAACCAAUGCCCUUUCGGGGCUCAAUGGUGAAUCAUAAUAACUUAACGAAUCGCAUGGCCUUGCGCCGGGCGAUGGUUCAUUCAAAUUUCUGCCCUAUCAACUUUCGAUGGUAGGAUAGUGGCCUACCAUGGUAUCAACGGGUAACGGGGAAUUAGGGUUCUAUUCCGGAGAGGGAGCCUGAGAAACGGCUACCACAUCCAAGGAAGGCAGCAGGCGCGCAAAUUACCCAAUCCCGACACGGGGAGGUAGUGACAAUAAAUACUGAUACAGGGCUCUUUUGGGUCUUGUAAUUGGAAUGAGUACAAUUUAAAUACCUUAACGAGGAACAAUUGGAGGGCAAGUCUGGUGCCAGCAGCCGCGGUAAUUCCAGCUCCAAUAGCGUAUAUUAAAGUUGUUGCAGUUAAAAAGCUCGUAGUUGAACCUUGGGCCUGGCUGGCCGGUCCGCCUCACCGCGUGUACUGGUCCGGCCGGGCCUUUCCUUCUGGGGAACCGCAUGCCCUUCACUGGGCGUGUGUGGGAACCAGGACUUUUACUUUGAAAAAAUUAGAGUGUUCAAAGCAGGCCUUUGCUCGAAUACAUUAGCAUGGAAUAAUAGAAUAGGACGUGUGGUUCUAUUUUGUUGGUUUCUAGGACCGCCGUAAUGAUUAAUAGGGAUAGUCGGGGGCAUCCGUAUUCAAUUGUCAGAGGUGAAAUUCUUGGAUUUAUUGAAGACGAACUACUGCGAAAGCAUUUGCCAAGGAUGUUUUCAUUAAUCAGUGAACGAAAGUUAGGGGAUCGAAGACGAUCAGAUACCGUCGUAGUCUUAACCAUAAACUAUGCCGACUAGGGAUCGGGGGGUGUUAUCAUUUUGACCUCCUCGGCACCUUACGAGAAAUCAAAGUCUUUGGG